AUCCAACUGACUAGUCCCAGGUAGGAUGAAACGCGUGUCUUGGAU
Schistosoma mansoni is the source of this 45-nucleotide non-coding RNA. NCBI's taxonomy places the organism in Eukaryota, Metazoa, Platyhelminthes, Trematoda, Strigeidida, Schistosomatidae. The record is from Rfam.